RNAcentral lists this ribosomal RNA (443 nucleotides) under uncultured bacterium. Its description in RNAcentral is "partial 16S ribosomal RNA". It matches the Rfam family "Bacterial small subunit ribosomal RNA", at positions 338 to 795 of the family's 1533-position model. The record is from RNAcentral.
CCUACGGGGGGCUGCAGUGGGGAAUAUUGGGCAAUGGGCGCAAGCCUGACCCAGCAACGCCGCGUGAAGGAAGAAGGCUUUCGGGUUGUAAACUUCUUUUCUCAGGGACGAAGCAAGUGACGGUACCUGAGGAAUAAGCCACGGCUAACUACGUGCCAGCAGCCGCGGUAAUACGUAGGUGGCAAGCGUUAUCCGGAUUUAUUGGGUGUAAAGGGCGUGUAGGCGGGAAAGCAAGUCAGAUGUGAAAACUGAGGGCUCAACCCGGAGCCUGCAUUUGAAACUGUUUUUCUUGAGUGCUGGAGAGGCAAUCGGAAUUCCGUGUGUAGCGGUGAAAUGCGUAGAUAUACGGAGGAACACCAGUGGCGAAGGCGGAUUGCUGGACAGCAACUGACGCUGAGGCGCGAAAGCGUGGGGAGCAAACAGGAUUAGAUACCCGUGUAGUC